Molecule: long non-coding RNA, 99 nt
Organism: Lynx canadensis (Canada lynx)
Lineage: Eukaryota; Metazoa; Chordata; Mammalia; Carnivora; Felidae
Exons: 3
Source: RefSeq, a predicted model, not a curated record
UGGUUGACUUAUUCUGAUUAACAUAAUACUCUGUAGCUCCAUCCAUUCAUUGCAAAUGGCAAGAUUUCAUUCUUUUUCUUCACAACUAUUCCACUUAUA